RNAcentral lists this ribosomal RNA (162 nucleotides) under uncultured bacterium. Its description in RNAcentral is "partial 16S rRNA". It matches the Rfam family "Bacterial small subunit ribosomal RNA", at positions 355 to 511 of the family's 1533-position model. The record is from RNAcentral.
UAGGGAAUCUUCCACAAUGGAGCAAGUCUGAUGGAGCAACGCCGCGUGAGUGAAGAAGGUCUUCGGAUCGUAAACUCUGUUGUUAGAGAAGAACACGAGUGAGAGUAACUGUUCAUUCGAUGACGGUAUCUAACCAGCAAGUCACGGCUAACUACGUGCCAG